This 86-nucleotide transfer RNA is filed under the name Candidatus Pelagibacterales bacterium. RNAcentral's name for it is "tRNA-Leu". It matches the Rfam family "tRNA". From Rfam's summary of the family: Transfer RNA (tRNA) molecules are approximately 80 nucleotides in length. Their secondary structure includes four short double-helical elements and three loops (D, anti-codon, and T loops). Lineage: Bacteria; Pseudomonadati; Pseudomonadota; Alphaproteobacteria; Candidatus Pelagibacterales. The record is from RNAcentral.
GUGGCCAUGCUGAAAUUGGUAGAUAGGCUUGGUUGAGGGCCAAGUGGAUUUUAUCCUUAAGAGUUCAAAUCUCUCUGGCCGCACCA